UACGAAGGGGGCUAGCGUUGCUCGGAAUCACUGGGCGUAAAGCGCACGUAGGCGGCUUUCUAAGUCAGGGGUGAAAUCCUGGAGCUCAACUCCAGAACUGCCUUUGAUACUGGGAGCUCGAGUCCGGAAGAGGUGAGUGGAACUCCGAGUGUAGAGGUGAAAUUCGUAGAUAUUAGGAAGAACACCAGUGGCGAAGGCGGCUCACUGGCCCGGUACUGACGCUGAGGCGCGAAAGCGUGGGGAGCAAACAGG
Molecule: ribosomal RNA, 252 nt
Filed under: uncultured bacterium
Lineage: Bacteria
Description: partial 16S ribosomal RNA
Rfam family: Bacterial small subunit ribosomal RNA
Source: RNAcentral